AGCACUUGUAUGGGGUUUUUGUUUAACUGGUGGAUAAAGACUUAGAGACAAAAAUAAAUUCUCUUUUGCAACCCAGAACUCACUGUUGUAUGAGUUUUAAUACAUGUAAGAAGGAAUAUC
Small nucleolar RNA from Cricetulus griseus (Chinese hamster), 120 nucleotides. NCBI's taxonomy places the organism in Eukaryota, Metazoa, Chordata, Mammalia, Rodentia, Cricetidae. The record is from Ensembl.